Triticum aestivum (bread wheat) is the source of this 489-nucleotide long non-coding RNA. RefSeq lists it as uncharacterized. The transcript is spliced from 2 exons. The record is from RefSeq and is a predicted model, not a curated record. NCBI's taxonomy places the organism in Eukaryota, Viridiplantae, Streptophyta, Magnoliopsida, Poales, Poaceae.
AAUAUAAAAAGGCUUGUCCACUAUGUUGGUUCUCCUUCAGAGCUCACAGAUCGGGCAACUAUCGGCAAGUCUUUCCUUCAACUCAACAAUUAGCUAAGAUGAGGUGUAUCCAAAUGUUGCUCCUGCCCAUCGCCUUCCUCGUGCUAUCAUCAGAUGUGAUAAUGGAGGCGUCGGCGGGCAUUGGCAUUGAUCCCAUCUCCUGUAUGUCAAACAUUAUUCAGCCGUCGCCAAAGCCAUGUGAUAACCAAACUUGUCGUAAGGCAUGCGUCGAACGUAUAGGGUACGGCACAGAAGGCAAGUGUGUUACCGAGGGGUGCGAGUGUACGUACUGCACAAAUUGGCCUCCACGACAAUCAACAAAUGAGCCCUGAUUUAGAUAGGAUGGGAUGUCAUGUUGAAUUGAAUAAUGCAACAGAGAUCAUAAAUGGUGUAAUAGCAAUGUUGUUCACUGAUAAGUCAUAUGAAGAAUGAUGAAUUUGGACUUGCUUA